RNAcentral lists this small RNA (1532 nucleotides) under Vigna angularis var. angularis. RNAcentral describes it as "Non-protein coding transcript". The record is from RNAcentral. Lineage: Eukaryota; Viridiplantae; Streptophyta; Magnoliopsida; Fabales; Fabaceae.
AUUAAAUCGAUGGAAAUAUGAAGAUACAUAUAGCACAAACACGAUGAUCAAACAGCCUUUUAAUAAGUUGGUGCAUUACGCAAUCAAAACCAGGGUGACCAUUCAGUGACAUCUUCCUUAUGCUAAUCAUCCACAGGAAAAAGCACGGAACCUGUAGAAAAAUAGAAGACCAAAAGUAAAAAUUACAAAGUUUGUGAAGCAUUGCAACGAUCAUGUUACUUUUUCCUUCAAUAUUUGGCUUAUUCUGAUUGCUGAUUAUAAACAAGUCAAAUUAGUUUCUAUCACUUUCUUUACAGAAUAAAGAAGCAAAUGACAAAUGUUCUGAACUUUACUUGACACUAACAGAGAGAGACGAAAAUUAGGUAGCAGUGUGCAGUUUAUGUAAUUAUUUGGUGCACUUAGCUGGAGAAAUGGACUGUUUAAGAUUGUCUCUUCAGUCUUCAGCAUUGAAUAUUUUAGAGAAUAUUAUAUUUCCAUCUUCCAUUUGAUGUUCAAUCUAGUGCUUUAACAGUGUUUCCAUUUCAGACUUGCAGUGAUUGAGCAGCCUAGCUGCUACCUUAUCUAUUAGUUUGUCCCUUCCCUGUCUGUUCACACCCCCUUGUGUUCUCUGGCCCGUUGGAUAAGUGUUUUCCCUAUUCUCUUAAAUAAACAGGAAUUGAGAGAAAUAAAAGGACAUAUUUUCCUUAUAUACAAAAGUCAACAAACAGUUGCCAAUGUGGGUUUGUCCAACAGCCUAUAAUUUUCCAGCCAGGUCCGGCAUGGCCUGUCCUUGGAAUGGGACAGCUUCCCCUCCAACCAAGCUUUUCUUUACCAUAAAAUAAAAUUUAACAGUUAAACAAUUCAGUUAUUACAACAAUUAAGAAACAUAAUUCCUUUUAGAUCAAAUGAACCUCUUUGACAGGUUUCAGAUUCCAGCAGUUCGUGGAUGCCCUCUCUGAUAUUCAGGAAGGACAAAACAAGUUCAAAUAUUAAGAAAGAACCAUCAAAAGUUUUAUUGAAAAGCUUAAGCUCGGUUCCUCCAUAAAUUUCUUCGGUUCAAGCUAUAAACUUAUGUCAUAAGAUAAUGCCAAAGUCUUCAGGAAUAGUAAGUAAUAAAUUCUAAUACUAUAUACCUCCAUAACUUUUUCAUAUUGGCAACAGAAACAAAAGCUCUAUCAUGAGUCAUGAAAGAAGAAAUUUUUUAUUUUUAAUUGAACCCUAAAGAUUUACUCAAAAUGGCUGCUUUCUUUUCCUUCUCAGAUUUUAGACAGUCUUUAAUUAGCUAGCAUUACAUUUUGACUGACACUAAGUGAGGUUUUCCCAGACAACUUAUAGAUCACAUAACAUGUGAAUUUCUUUCAACCGUACCACAAAACAGCUUUCCUAGGAGGUUGCUUUUGGCUGUGAUAUUAUUAGUAAAAGAUAAUUUGGGGAGAAGAAGGCAAAUUCAUUGCUGUAGGAGUCAUAAGCAAUGUUUCCCAGGAAGUAGAUAUAUCACCUGUACAAUGAAUGGUACCAGUGGCCAGACAUAAGAGGGGCAUCCACUCGCUUUU